This 20443-nucleotide long non-coding RNA is filed under the name Brassica napus (rape). RNAcentral describes it as "long non-coding RNA (BNAP_LNC011420)". Lineage: Eukaryota; Viridiplantae; Streptophyta; Magnoliopsida; Brassicales; Brassicaceae. The record is from RNAcentral.
CUCUUCGGUAUGAACGUUUUCUUGCAUCAUCAUCAUCUCUCAUUUGAAAAUUUCACUAACAAGAUUUGAUUCUCUCGUGUAGAAUCAAGAGCGAUUACUCAGUACAUAGCUCACCGAUAUGAAGAGGAAGGAACCAACCUUCUCCCAGCCGACUCCAAGAACAUAUCCCACUACGCAAUCAUGGCCAUUGGAAUGGAAGUAGAAGCUCACCACUUCGACCCAGUGGCUUCAAAGCUUGCUUGGGAACAAGUGUUCAAGCUCUUCUAUGGCAUGACCACAGACCAAGCCGUUGUUGAAGAAGAAGAGGCCAAGUUAGCCACGGUUCUUGAUGUGUACGAGGCUAGGCUCAAGGAGUUCAAGUAUUUGGCUGGUGAAACUUUUACUUUGACCGAUCUUCACCACAUUCCAGUGAUUCAGUACUUGCUUGGAACUCCCACCAAAAAGCUCUUCGAUGAGCGUCCACAUGUCAGCGAGUGGGUGGCAGAGAUCACCAACAGGCCAGCUUCCCAGAAGAUCCUUCAGUGAGACAAAAGGAAAAGAAAAUGAUUCUGCUUCAGUCACAGUAAUAAUAUGCUCAAACUAAAUAAGUGGCUGCCUCAUUGCCCAAUUUCUCAGUGCUCUGUUUUGUCUUUCUGUAUGUCCUCUGUUUUUUAUUUUCAGUUUAAUAUUGUAUGUGUUUGUGUUCUUGAGAGAUCAUUGUUGAAUCAAAAGUUAUUUUCCUAAUCUUCAAACUCUUCUAUAAUAAAACAGGUUAGUUAGUUAUUUAAUACUACAGAAGAUUGCAAUGUCUUAACUAAGGAGUUACUUAUUAGUGAGAGAAUAGUAUGCAAAGACUUUUAGUGCUUACUUUGUAGGCAUAAGACUUUGGACAUUCUCAUCCUUAUAAAGUCUCCUUGCUUUGUCGGAUCUGAAAAUGACAGACAAGUAAGAGAUGGUCUUAGCUAAAAGUCUGACAAAGCAAACGAGGAGGAGGAGGGGAUGAUGAGUAUUUGCAUGAAGAGCCUCAAGAUCUCCCUCCUCGAAAUCCUUUAAAGCAGCCUCUUAAACGACCUAGAAACUCAGAUCCUUUCCAAGAAGCCAUGUUAGCGGUUGCUUCAAGCAUUCGUCGCCUAGCUGAUGCAGUGGAAGGAAGCAAAAGUUUGAUCAACACAGAGGAACUGCUUGAAGCAGUGAUGGAGAUUGAUGGAUUGGAAGAAGCCAAGCAGAUGUAUGCGUUUGAGUAUCUGAAUGGUGAUCCGGUGAAAGCUAGAGCGUUCAUGGCUUAUGAUAGUAGGAUGAGGAAGUUGUUUUUGUUUCGACAGUUUUGGUGGUGGAAGUAAUAACACAAAAUGUGGAUUUGAAUUUUGUUUUAAGGUAAUUUAAAGUCUAGAGUUUUUGUAUUCGGUGAUUGUUGUCUAUGGUAAAAUGAUUUAUCCCAAGUGGUCACAUUGCAAAACCAAUGUUUCGGUCCCAACAAUUUUGUAGUCGGUAGAUGUUAGUCAUAGUAGAUAAAUUACUAUGAUUUGGUCUGGGCAAAAACCAAACACAAUUAAAAGAAGAAAUCGAAUCAAAAUUUUAUAAAUAGUUGAUUUGUUUUUUAUUGUCCGAAAUAUUCUAACUGAAUCAAAAUCAAUAGAUAGUUGAAUAUAUAAAAUAUAAUUUUCUAUUUAAAAUAUUAAUUAUAAUAAUUUAUAUGAUAUAACAUUUUAAAUAUAAUUACUAUUGAGAAUAUUUAUAAAUAUAUACAAAAAGAAUUUACUGAUGUUUAAUUUAUCUGAAUAUUUUUAUUUAAAAUAUUUAAAUUGGUUUUGGUUUAGCUCAAUUUACAACCGCAGUUUCGCUUGAUUUAGCUCAAUUUUAGUAUGGUUGGUCCGCUUGGUUUCUCUAAAAGAAAUCAACUUAAUCAAUUGAUUGGAGGAAAAUAACACAACGCAACGCAACGUGAGACGUUAUCACCCAUCAUCAUCAUCCAUCGAUCAUCACCAUCUAAAAACCAUGCAAAGCAGGAAUUUUUUUGAAGACUGACAAGGAAACAUGGUGAAGUCACUCUCCUUUGUUCAUCAACCCUAAACUCACUAUUCUCCUCCACUCUCUCUUCAUCCACUUCUUCCAAGAAUAACAAAAUUGCGUACUCAGCAAACAUCAAGAACCAGAUAAUAUCGUCUCUGUCAUGGAACAGACGAGAACUGUCUCUUGGGUUUAUGAUCAGCUUUCUUGCGUUUGGUCUCGUGGAGAGCUUCUGGAGAAAGUGAAGCAAGAUCGGAAAAAGAGGAUUGAGCGACGAGCUGUUCUUAACUCUGCUGUCAAUGAAAAGGGUAUUUCUGAAAACAAUCAGUCUUUCAUCUUUGUGUUGCUGGGUUUUUUUCUAUGUGUUCGAGAAUUUGCAAAGUUUGGGAUGUGUACUUGUGUUUAGAAGAAAGUUACUCAGACUUUGAAGUUACAUGUAGCAGUAACCUGAAGAAUCAACAGUCUUUAUAGUUGAUGAAAAGUUUACUCUUAUAGGACAAAUGUGUUUCCUCAUUGUGUUAUGGUCUUCAUAGUUAGUUAAUUGGCUUUGUUCCAAUGCCAUUUACAUUAAAAAGUUACUCUGGUUUUGUAUCCUUCCAAUGCUACAUGACGUAAUCAGAAGAUAUUUAUGGACAAGUUUUACUCUUUUAGGGAUAUAUGGGUCUUCUCUUUCUGGUAUAUGGUCUACAUAUUGUUAUCUGUCUUGUUCUAGUGUUACUUACAUUGAACACUAAUCUGAUGAUGAUUGAUUAAGUAAUCAGAACAAAUAGAUGGAAAGGUUUUUGACCUUUUUGUUAUUUCUGUCAUUGUCUUGUUUGUAGGGUAUUUGCAGGAUCUUGUUUACAAGUUAAGCAAAGUAGGACAAGCCAUUGAGAACAAUGAUCUGGAAGCUGCAUGUUUGGUCUUAGGGAAAGGCAUUGAUACCGGAUGGGUCAAAACCGUUAAUUUGGCUUUCACAAAGCUCUUUUUCUUUCUCCUUUUUUUUUUUUAACUCACAAUGGUCAAAUGGAUUGAUUAUAUUUAUAUUCAACUGGUUCUCUCUCUGCAUAAGGUAGAUUUUCUUUUUACGGUUUAGUCAAGCUCGUUCUUUGUGUUGUAACGACAGCUGAGUGCAAGCCCGGAAGAAAAUACAGAGGUGGAAAGUGGAAACAUUUAAUUCAUCUUUAGCUUCUCUUAUUACAUCAGGUUCGUUGUUCUUCUUAACUUCUCUGUUCACAAGAAUCAAAUUUAUCCAUUUAAAAGUCAUAAGAAAUAUCUUAUUGAAACUUGGUUACGCAGUGAACAAGAACGAUAGAGAGUCAUCUAAGCUCGCGUUUGUGUCAUCGGCUAGUGCAUUUGAGAAAUGGACGAGCUUGACAGGUCUUUUGGGACACCUUAAAGGAAUAUGAUAGGCUACCUUACAAAAUUGUCUUUAUUUUUCUACGGAUGGUCAACAAAAGAAGAGUCGAAACAAACAAAAAAAUAAUCCUUUGAAAAUGCCAUCUUAACAGCUUUGCUUAUCAUUAUUUAUUACAUUUGUUCAUACUCACCUUGCAUUGGCUAAUUUUUAAAAAAGUUUCAGUCACGAGUUUGAAUGGUAAUAACUCAACAUUAAAAGGAACCUUUCAACCAGAAUUCCACAUAAAUAAACUUUAAAUUAAAAAAAAACCUUUGAACCGGGAAGAAGUCAUGCCCGAUAUGCUAACCAAGAGUGUGUCAAUCAAGUAAAGUUGUAAACCAAAACCCGGGUAAAACAUGUACAACCAAAUUUCACAUCAAUAGAAACCCAUUUAACCGAGAAAUCAUGCCGGUUAAAAGCAUCCCGAAACAAUACUGAACCGGUAAUAGCCAAGGUGUAUGUCACGUUACUAGGUGGAGCUUGACUAUUAGGUGGAAGUUUGAGACAUUUGGGCGUUAGUACACACUUGUUUGAUCUUUUCUUUGAUGACAUUCAUUGAAUGCUUUAUUAUUUAAAAACGAUAUCUCAUAACCAAAUUGUAAAAAACAAAUAAUCAAGCGUUAAACAAUCUCAUUCCAGUUUGACUAAUCCUCCAAAGAAGACUAGUCAAUAUUGGUUUGCGACGGUCUUGUAGAUGCAUUAUUGAUCAGCUAAAACAAUAUUAAACAUUAAUGAGAAUCCAUUAAAAUGCUCUGUUUUCUACUUGUAUAAAUAUACCAUCAUUACUUGUCUCUUGUUUCAUCACCUUCACAUUCAACAUUAAACACAUCACAUUUCAAAGAGUUUCUUUUGUAAUCAAAAUCAAUGGCAGGUAUCAAAGUUUUCGGACACGCUGCUUCCACUGCCACCAGGAGAGUCCUCCUCACCCUCCACGAGAAGAACCUCGACUUUGAGCUCGUUCAUGUCGAGCUCAAAGACGGCGAGCACAAGAAAGAGCCCUUCCUCUCCCGCAACGUAAGUAUUUAUAUGUAACCAUGAGUUUUGAGACAAGACCAACCACUUUUGACAAAUCUUGGUCUGAAUCUUUAAUGUUUUGUUUUUGAUUGACGUUACAGCCUUUUGGUAAAGUUCCCGCCUUUGAAGAUGGAGACCUCAAGCUCUUCGGUAUGAACGUUUUCUUGAAUCGUCAUCCCUGAUUUGAAAAUUUCACUAACAAGAUUUGAUUCUUUCGUGUAGAAUCAAGAGCGAUUACUCAGUACAUAGCUCACCGAUAUGAAGAGGAAGGAACCAACCUUCUCCCAGCCGACUCCAAGAACAUAUCCCACUACGCAAUCAUGGCCAUUGGAAUGGAAGUAGAAGCUCACCACUUCGACCCAGUGGCUUCAAAGCUUGCUUGGGAACAAGUGUUCAAGCUCUUCUAUGGCAUGACCACUGACCAAGCCGUUGUUGAAGAAGAAGAGGCUAAGUUAGCCACGGUCCUUGAUGUGUAUGAGGCUAGGCUCAAGGAGUUCAAGUAUUUGGCUGGUGAAACUUUUACUUUGACCGAUCUGCACCACAUUCCAGUGAUUCAGUACUUGCUCGGAACUCCCACCAAAAAGCUCUUCGACGAGCGUCCACAUGUCAGCGAGUGGGUGGCAGAGAUCACCAACAGGCCAGCUUCCCAGAAGAUCCUUCAGUGAGACAAAAGGAAAAGAAAAUGAUUCUGCUUCAGUCACAGUAAUAAUAUGCUCAAAGUAAAUAAGUGGCUGCCUCAUUGCCCAAUUUCUCAGUGCUCUGUUUUGUCUUUCUGUUAUGUCCUCUGUUUUUUAUUUUCAGUUUAAUAUGUAUGUGUUUGUGUUCUUGAGAGAUCUUUGUUGAAUCAAAAGUUAUUUUUCUAAUCUUCAAACUCUUCUAUAAUAAAACAGAUUAGUUAGUUAUUUAAGAUUACAAAAGAUCUUAACUAGGGAGUUACUUAUUAGUGAGAGAAUAGUAUGCAAAGACUUUUAGUGCUUACUUUGUAGGCAUAAGACUUUGGACAUUCUCAUCCUCUAAAAGUCUCCUUGCUUUGUCGGAUCUGAAAAUGACAGACAAGUAAGAGAUGGUCUUUACCUAAAAGUCUGACAAAGCAAACACACAUUAGAUUUCUAAUGAACACAAGAAAAUUCAAAUAUAUAAAUUACAGAAACGAAUCCUAACGCUUAAGUUGGUCUGUACCUUGACCAACUUAAGCGUUAGGUGAAGCAACCCCCCCCCCCAAACUCGUCUUUAAGUCAUUCCUCACUUUCCUGACUUUAAAGGGGUACCCAACAAAUUUUGUGGGUAAAGCCAUAUAUACAUAUACUUGCAGCCUCAAAGUUGAAGGGCUUUGCAGUAUUCACAGAUUGAGCUCUGUUCUUUUAAUAAACGCUGCGUCCAACAUCAGCGGCUCCAAAAGCUUUGUAUUUCUGUUGUUUCUAAGAGCAAGAUUGCAGAGAAACCACUGAGCCGUGUUAAUUAUAAGAGAUGCAGCGCCGGAUUUCCGAUCAAUUGUGAUCGUUUAAAAUUCUAGCGGCAGUUAUAAUCACACCUGCGACUCUUUUCCCUGUUCCGGUGACAAUUUUUAAUCUCGUCAUCACUAUCUACGUCAUUUUAUUUCUUUCAUUCAAAGCAGGCGUAGUGAGUAUUUGGAACCGCCGACGCUGGACGCAGCGUUUACCAAAAGAACAUGGCUAUAUCCGUUUUUGUUAUCAGAGUUUGUCCGUGGAAGCAAAAGCUUCCCAAUCAAUGGAAGCUUUGCUCAAAACCCAACCAUUUCAAAAUCGGGGAUAGCCAUGUUGUAGGAGAUCUCAAUCCAGUGUAACUCUGAUACUUCCAUAUCAGGUUUCAACUUCUCCACAUACCAUUAACCCCUUGGAUAAAAUUAAAAAUCUUGUUUUGUUUCCGAUAGAAAUAAAAAUAAGGAAAAUUUCCCAAACCUGAACAGAAAAACAGCAUGGUUGUACUUUUGGUAUAAUACGAAUGUAGUUUUUACUUUUAUGAGGUAUUUAUGAGGUAUUCUAAAAUUUUAGGAAUUCGAAAUCUAGACACUACUCAAACGACUACAUGAGGUAGAAUCUGCAUAUGAGAAUUUUGUCUUGGUUCUACACAGUAUAGAAAGUGUCUUCUACGGAUAAGAAAACCUGAUUUUGGCAAAAAUUCUAAAAGUUUCGGUUAAGAAAAUAUUCUAAAAAUAUUUAUAAUAUUCUAACUUCUCUAAAACGUGUAUAGGUCAAUUUACCUAGUAAAAAAUAUCAAAUCUUUUUUUGUAAUAUUCCAACUUUCCUAAAACGUGUAUUCAUUUUUCCUUUUUAUCAAACAUUUUCUUUAAAAACAUUUUUUUUCCUUUUUAUUAUACGUUUUAAUUAAAAAAUAAAAUUUUUAAUUUAAACGUUUUUAAAAUUUUUGUAUAAAAUAAAAAUAAAACUUUGUAAAACGUUUUUAAUAAAAAUAAAACUAUGUAAAACGUUUUUAAUAAAAAAUUAAUAAAAAUAAACUUUGUAAACUUUAUAAAAAUAAAAAUCUAUAAAAAGUUUUUAAUCAAAAACGUUAAAUAAACUUUAUAAAAAUGUUUUAUAAAGUUUUAUUUUUAUAAAAAGUUUAAAACGUUUUAGUUUUAUUAAACUUUUUUUUUAUAAAAAAAAUUAAACUUUUAAAUUUUAACAUUUUUACAACGUUUUUUUCCUUUUUAUUAAAAAUUUUAAAUUUCAAUUAAACUUUUAAAUUGUGUUUAAUGUGUUUAAUUGAUUAAUCAAUGGUUUGUUUUGGGAUUAUAAAAAAGAUUAUAAUAAAAAGAUAACUUAAAGAUGAUAUUAUACCAAAGGACAACUUUGCUGUUUUUCUGUUCAGUUUUGGCAUUAAAAUAUAGCAAACUCAAAGCAAAGACAUGAAAACCAAGAAAAAACCCAUGGAAUUUUCUAGCAAUAGUCCAACACUUGUCCAUAAGAAAUUUAAAAAGCAAAAGAAGCUCAGAGAGAUCCUUACUCCUGUUAUUGUCACCAUUGUUGUCCCCAUAUCUACUUUGAUCUUGUUUCUCUGCUCUUGAAUAGAGACUUUUAUAUAAAAAUAGAUGUUGCAUAAAAAUAGGAAUAUGAAAUACAAUAAAAGAAAAAAACGAAACAAUUCGUUUACAAGAUAACAAUUGGUUCAAGAUCAACAGACAAAUCCCUGAGGAAGAGUCUUGCCACAAGAGUUGAGAUGCAAAGUGAGAGCAACAGGAAGUUUAACCGGGGCGACUCCGAGUAGGCUGGUUUUAAGGGCGGUGCAAAGACAAAUGGCAGCUUCAAGAUCAGCCAAACCUUUGACAAGUGAGCAACACUCCUGGCUCGGUGGUGUACCGAUGACCUCAUGAACUAGACCUAACCAGCUGCCACACACUCCAAACUUGACCGUGUCUCUUGGACAUUUCAUGGAUGAUUGUUUUGUGGGAGGAGGGCAUUGCUUAACGGCAUUACAAAAGGAGAAUGUUAAGUUGAGGACUAGCAACAAGACCAGAAGCAAUGGAAAAGCUUUUGAGAUAGCCAUUGCUUUGUUUGCGUAUGAAGUUCUAUAGCUACGGGAUAUCGAAGAAGUAGAAGAAGAUAGGCCUUUUAAUUUGCUUUCUCUGGUGGGGUAUUUAUCAAUUAUCAUCGUGCAUGUGGCUGCAAUCAUUUGUGUUAUCUCUAGUCUGGAAAACGUUUUUUGUCGUAAUAUUGAAACUGAUGGAACAUCCGGCGGCAAAAAUAUGAUUUUUUUUAUGUUCGUAAACGAGCUAAGGAAAUAUAAUCUAAUCUACUAAAACGGAGUACACCAAAUAAAUAAAAUUUUAUUUUCAUGUCAAAUAUUACAAACAUUAUCAGGCAAAAAGUUGGAUUGCCCAACUAUAAUAACAUUCGAACACGAACAAGCAAUCAUUCUGAUAUCUUGUAUACCUUCCUCAAACUAUUUAUGACUUUCCUAUGCUUAUUUAAACGCUUUCUCUUACUCCCUUGGUGUUGAAUAUUACUGGUCAAGCCAGUUUUUUUGUGACCACAUGCCAGUUCCUUAUGCGAGUCAUUACAACGACCCUCAUCAUGGUUAUUCUAGUGAGCACAUCCUCAACAUGACGAAAGAGCAGCGUGGAAGUUUAGAAGAUCGAGAAGUUGAAUACAAAGAUAGACAUGCUGAUGCAGAGAGAUAAAAAAAUAGCUAACUCAUGUCAGGAUGUCGGAGAAAAAAUUCUCUUACAGACUUUUGCAGGGCCUACCAAUCACCAAACUGAGGUGAACUACGUGAACGAUCAAGGGUUUGAGCAGAACAAGUUACAAAAGAAAUUGACGUGAAGAGAAACUCAUUUUCGAUUUAAAAUCAAAAUUUAAUGUUGUUACUACAUUUCACCAAUAUGGAAUCUAUAAUAUUAAAUCACACAUAUUAUUUCUAAAUCUAUUUCGAACAAAUACUACAUUUUGAAAAUAAAAAUAAAUGAUAAAAACUAAAUUUUUAGGAUUGAAACAAAAAAAUAGUGAUAGUUUUAAAAUCAGAUCAAGAAGUGAAAAAACCAAUCUGUCUAUUUUUAAACACGGAUCAAAAUCUAGUUAGAAUCUACAUUAUAAUGAGUCAUUUUCAUCACUCUUGAUGCGACACGCCAGCAGGUAAGUGGGUCCCACUUUUAAAAAGUGUGAAAAUUGUCAAGUCUGUGGCUCGAACCAGGGUUACUGUGAUAUAACACUACAAGAAAACAGCGGCAUACCGAGGGAAAAAAUUGUCGGUAUGUCGUCGGAAUAACGUUAUUCCGACGACAUACCGACGAAACAAGUCCUCGGAAAUAACUCCUCGGAAAUUCAUUUUUUCUCGGAAAUCCCUCGGAAAUUUCCGAAAGAAUUCCGAGGAAAUGCAUUUCCGAGGAAACUCCGAGGACCACCAGUUCGUCGGAAAGGUCCUCGGGAUAUACCGAGGGAGAACUUCCUCAGGAUAUUUCAAUGGACUUUCCGAUGGUCCAAUCCUCGGAAGUUUCGACGAAAUGUUCCUCGGAAUUUUCAUCGGGAAUUUCCGAGGAACGGAGCCCUCAGAAAAUUCCGAGGAAUGAGUCUCUCGGUAUAUUCCGAUGACUUAUUCCGAGGAAAUGUUUGAUAUAAAAAGAUGAUAAAAUAAAAAUCAAGAAAUAAAUGAAUUGAACUUUUAAAAAAAAGAACUUACCGAUUCAACGAUUUCGUUGAUUCGAACCCGGGAAAAGUUGGUCGAAGCCGUCGAAUCGUCAUCCUCGGUUUAAAGCUGAGACACUUCGUCUUGCACCUGAGUUUGGACCAGGGUGACCACUUCCCUCACAAGACGAUCAUCAAUCUGUCUGGUCUUCUUGUUGGUAUACGCCCUCUUCAUUAGGGCGAGAUCAUCAACCGGCUCGCCCUCAUUUUCUUCCGCCUUGAAAAAAAACAUAAAUUAAACAAACAUUAGAAAUUAGAAGAAAUGCACAAAAAAUAAAUUUCAAAACUUAAAUAAUUGAAGAAAAAGCGGCUGAACUUACCAUGCGAUCCCCCAGAGUGGCAAUAGAUUGAGCACCCAAGUUAUGCUUGAAGACGCCCUUCCUUUUACGCUCGCUCCUGCGGUUGGUGGAGUUGGUGGAAGAAGUUUCUUUCGUCUCUUCCUUAUCCCAAUGCGCACACAACUCCGUCCAGACCGUGUUGUUUAUCGACUUUGGGACCUUUUAAUAAAAAAAAAAAGAAAUAGUUUAAUAAAUUAAAAAAUAGUUUAAUAAAUUAAAAAAUUGUUUAAUAAAUUAAAUCGAACCUUAUUGAUUUCCCACUUCUUCUUCCACUCGUGGAUCUGCUUCCCAUAGUUGUCCAUAACUUUAUGGACGAAGUGGUGAUAGAUAAAGAGCGUCUCAUCGGAAUUCCAGUUGAACUCUUGCUGAAAAAAAAACACAAUUAGUAGAAAAUUUAUAUUAAAGAUUAAAAAUAUAAGUAAAAAAUUAGAAUACUUACCGCAAACUGACGAAACCACAGAUGCUGCUUGUCGGUAGGGAAGUCAGUGAAAGUCGGAUGUCCCUUGUCGAGGGCCGAGUACAUCAUACGGUUGAUCCAUGCGCUGAUCCCGUUCCCGGAUCGGUUGAACCUAAUAAAAAGAACAAACGGUUAAUAAUGAAUCCAAAUUUAAAGAAAAAAAAAUGUUUAAUUACCAUGUUUGACCCCGUCCAUGUGGAUACGGAGUGAGAUACGGAAGAUGGUCACGACCGGGCUGUUGAACCAACUCCGCAACACUCAUCACUCCCGGAGGACCCGGAGGAACAGGAGCGGAUGCAGCAGCGGGAGCGAGAGGAGCAUGAGCGGGUGCAGCAGAGGGAGAUGUAUGGUUGGAGCUGUGGGGCGAAGGGGAAUCCUGAAAAUGGCUGGAAUCCCGAGACUGGCUCCCCGUACCACCACGACCACGACGCUGUCGAGGCCGGGUCUGAUCAUCAUGAGACCUGUAAAUUAAAAAAAUAUAUUUAAUAAAUACAGAAAUAUAUAAAUUAAUUUUUUUUAUUAAAAAAAAAUCCCAAAUAAUUUAAUCACAGAAAAAGAUUUAUAUAUAUUAAAUUUUUUUAAUAAAUAUAUAAAAAUAGUUCUAAUAAACAAAAAAUAGUUUUAAUAAAUAAAAAUUGUUUAAUAAUUACAAAAAAAUAGUUUUAAUAAUAUAUAUAUAUGAAAAAUAUUUUUAAAUCCCAAAUAAUAGUAUUUAAUCACAAAAAAAGUUUUAUAGAUAUUUAAAAUGUUUUGUAAAAUCCAAAAAAUCGAAUUUAUAUAGAAAUUUUUUUUUGUAAAAUCCAAAAAAUCGAAUUUAUAUAGAAAAAUCGUUUUGUAAAAUACAAAAAUCGAUUUUAUAUACAAAAAUCGAUUUUAUAAAUACAAAAAAUAAAAAAAUUAUAAAAAAAUUCUAAAUCAAUUCAACAAAACAAAUUAUUCAACCAAAUCACAAUUCUAAACCUAUUAUACAACCAAAUCACAAUCCUAACCAAUCACCCUAACAAAAAUCUAUCAAAACUACACAAAAACCUAACAAAUAGAACCUAAGAGAGUGGGAUAGGGUCCUUACAUGAUUUGUGUAAGAGAAGAGGGAGAUCGCCGGAGAUAUCGUCGGAUUUCAGGGGGAAAUCGCCGGAGAGAAAGAGAGGAGUCGCGCAGAGGAAGAACAGAGAAAUGGGGAAGAAGAAGGGGCUCGUGGUUAUAAAACCUAGGGUCCGACGGACAUUAUCCGUCGGAAUUCCGUCGGAAUUCUAAUUUCAAUUUUCGCGAAAUAUUUGCCCGGUAAAAUGAAAAUAUUCCGAGGAAAUACCGAGGAACUAGUGUUUGGGGUUUCAAAACAUCANNNNNNNNNNNNNNNNNNNNNNNNNNNNNNNNNNNNNNNNNNNNNNNNNNNNNNNNNNNNNNNNNNNNNNNNNNNNNNNNNNNNNNNNNNNNNNNNNNNNNNNNNNNNNNNNNNNNNNNNNNNNNNNNNNNNNNNNNNNNNNNNNNNNNNNNNNNNNNNNNNNNNNNNNNNNNNNNNNNNNNNNNNNNNNNNNNNNNNNNNNNNNNNNNNNNNNNNNNNNNNNNNNNNNNNNNNNNNNNNNNNNNNNNNNNNNNNNNNNNNNNNNNNNNNNNNNNNNNNNNNNNNNNNNNNNNNNNNNNNNNNNNNNNNNNNNNNNNNNNNNNNNNNNNNNNNNNNNNNNNNNNNNNNNNNNNNNNNNNNNNNNNNNNNNNNNNNNNNNNNNNNNNNNNNNNNNNNNNNNNNNNNNNNNNNNNNNNNNNNNNNNNNNNNNNNNNNNNNNNNNNNAUGUCCGUCGAAAUUUCCUCGGAAUGAUUAAAUAUUUCCGUCGGAAUUUCCUCGGAAAUCAUUAAUUCAAUUUUCGCGAAAUAUUUGGCGGCUUGGUUUACCCGGUUAAAUGAAAAUAUUCCGAGGAACCAUGUUUCCUCAGAAUUUCCUCGGAAGUUACCGAGGAAACAGGGUUUGGGGUUUCAAAACAUCGAUUCUUUUUGCCGUAUUUCAUUUCUUAUACAAUUGUAAUGCAUACCAUUGAGGAUUUUUUGUAUAGAUGAUCAUAAACCAUGAAAUAACAAAAUUUCAAAAAUAAUUGUAAGUAUUCCCUUUACCGUUUAUUAAAGUGUAUAAGUGUUUCUCUUAUGUUGUGUGGUUUUCGUUCAUGCAAUCGUAAAAGUGUUUGUUAUUGGGUAAAACACCAAAGUUUGACUUCAUAAUCUGGUUAAGACACUUAAUGAAGGUUAUAUACGUGUUAUUCAAUUCGCAAAACGUUGUUUUCGGUUAAAAACUCCUAGUUCCUCGGAAUUUCCUCGGAAAUUACCGAGGAAACAGGGUUUGGGGUUUCAAAACAUCGAUUUUUUUUUGCCGUAUUUCAUUUCUUAUACAAUUGUAAUGCAUACCAUCGAGGAUUCUUUGUAUAGAUGAUCAUAAACCAUGAAAUAACAAAAUUUCAAAAAUAAUUGUAAGUAUUCCCUUUACCGUUUAUUAAAGUGUAUAAGUGUUUCUCUUAUGUUGUGUGGUUUUCGUUCAUGCAAUCGUAAAAGUGUUUGUUAUUGGGUAAAACACCAAAGAUUGACUUCAUAAUCUGUUUAAGACACUUAAUGAAGGUUAUAUACGUGUUAUUCAAUUCGCAAAACGUUGUUUUCGGUUAAAAACUCCUAGUUCCUCGGAAUUUCCUCGGAAAUUACCGAGGAAACAGGGUUUGGGGUUUCAAAACAUCGAUUCUUUUUGCCGUAUUUCAUUUCUUAUACAAUUGUAAUGCAUACCAUCGAGGAUUCUUUGUAUAGAUGAUCAUAAACCAUGAAAUAACAAAAUUUCAAAAAUAAUUGUAAGUAUUCCCUUUACCGUUUAUUAAAGUGUAUAAGUGUUUCUCUUAUGUUGUGUGGUUUUCGUUCAUGCAAUCGUAAAAGUGUUUGUUAUUGGGUAAAACACCAAAGUUUGACUUCAUAAUCUGGUUAAGACACUUAAUGAAGGUUAUAUACGUGUUAUUCAAUUCGCAAAACGUUGUUUUCGGUUAAAAACUCCUAGUUCCUCGGAAUUUCCUCGGAAAUUACCGAGGAAACAGGGUUUGGGGUUUCAAAACAUCGAUUUUUUUUUGCCGUAUUUCAUUUCUUAUACAAUUGUAAUGCAUACCAUCGAGGAUUCUUUGUAUAGAUGAUCAUAAACCAUGAAAUAACAAAAUUUCAAAAAUAAUUGUAAGUAUUCCCUUUACCGUUUAUUAAAGUGUAUAAGUGUUUCUCUUAUGUUGUGUGGUUUUCGUUCAUGCAAUCGUAAAAGUGUUUGUUAUUGGGUAAAACACCAAAGAUUGACUUCAUAAUCUGUUUAAGACACUUAAUGAAGGUUAUAUACGUGUUAUUUAAUCCGCAAAACGUUGUUUUCAGUUAAAAACCCCUAGUUCCUCGGAAUUUCCUCGGAGAUUACCGAGGAAAUACUGAGGAAAUUACCGAGGAAAUACCGAAGAAACCCUUAUCUUCCGCGGAAUUCCGUCGGAAUAUUCCGAGGAAAUUCCGAGGAAAAAGACUCUAUAAUCAAAUUCCUAAAUCGACAAGGCCUAUUCCGAGGAAAUUCCGAGGAAAACCUAUCUUCCCUCGGGAUUUCCUCGGCAUUUCUAUUAAAAAAAAAAUUCGAUGCUAGUCUGUUUCUGAGUCAUCAUCACCAGAUGAAUCUGAAUCUGGAUCUUGGUGAAACUCUCCAAUCACUGGUUCAUCCUCUACGUGAACGACGGCUUCCUCUCCGAAGUUGGUUAAAUCGACUACAAGGCCAACUCCAGCUAAAUCUUCUGCUGCACUUAAGUUGCCGGAUGUGCUUGGUUGUAGUGGGUCUUCCAGCUUAGAACUUCCCUGAAUUCGGCCUCUCGGGUUGAGUCUUGUAACAGUAACCCAUGGAUCAUCUCUGUUCCUUACCCGGGGGUACUUGAUAUAACAAACCUGUAAUAAUUAAAAAAUUAUUAGUAAAAUUAUAAAUUAAUACACAUGAUGAUGAAUCAUUCUGAAUAAUUAACAUUUAAUUACCUGAUCGGCCUGAGAAGCAAGAAUGAAAGGAUCAUAAUAUUGCAGCUUUCGCCUCGAAUUUACUGAUGUAACACCAAAUGCAUCUGUUCUCACACCUCGAUCUAGAGUGUUGUCGUGCCAAUCACAAUAGAAAACAAUACAGCGCAAUCCAACCAUGCCCAAAUACUUGAUUUCCAAAAUCUCAUGUAUGUGUUCGUAGUAUACAUCAUCUCCUGAUGCAGAACAAACGCCAGCAUCAUAAGUCGUACUCGAACGUCUCCUCUUCUGAGUUGUGAAUGCAUAUCCUCGAGUACAAAAUCUCGGAUAGACUUCACAACAAAGUUUGGUCCAACGACCAUCUCGCGUAUCCAAUCGUAAAAUGUUUCACCUCUGACCAAACCAGCAGACACCUAUUAAUAGCACAUAUAUAUGUUAUAUCAAUAAAUGUGAAUUAGUAUAAAUAUGUGAUAAAUGAUAUUUUAAUUUGUUUAAAGCACUCACAUAAGUAAACAUCCAUCCAGCAAAUUCUCUCUGCUUCAUUUCUUCUAGUUCGUCCUCUAUGGCGUAUCUAUAUUCGAACCGCUUUUCUGCCAUGAAAAUCCUGUACAUAUGAUGACAAUAAUGUAAUUAAUUAAGAUUUAAAUUUCAACUUGUUAAAAUAAAAAUUUGUAAGCUAAUUUAUUUACCUCUCAUAUUGAAGAACAUCUUCCCAGUUGGUGAGCAAAUAUGUUUGCAAAUUACUGCGCUCCUGCUCUGUAAGUCGACGGUCCUUUGGUUUUCCGCUAAGUCGUCCAACGUCUGUGAAAAUGUCUGGAACCGUAACAUGAUAUGUUGCCCGUUCGCCUCUAUCAUCAUGCCGAGCAGGUCUUCUGUUUUUGGUCUGAACUUUUGCUGGAAAGUAGUACUCGGCAAAGAUUAAAGUUUCUUCCUUGAUCAUCUGUGCGACUAUAGAACCUUCCACCCUACUUAAAUUUUUCACCAUCUUCUUCAAAUGGAACAUAUACCGCUCAUACAGAUACAUCCAUCAAUACUGCACAGGACCACCAAGUUCCAAUUCUCUUGCCAGGUGAAUAACAAGAUGCUCCAUAACAUCAAAAAAUGAGGGAGAAAAUAUCUUCUCAAGGUUGCACUGAAUCACGGCUAUGUUAGUCUUCAAAUUUUCAAUACCUUCAAGAGUCACUGAUCUCGUCCAUAAAUCGCGGAAGAAACCACUUAUCCCUACAAUUGCUUCAUGAACAUUUCGUGGUAAUAGUUCCUUGAAGGCAAAUGGAAAGAGGCGCUGCAUCAUUACAUGGCAAUCGUGGCUUUUCAAGCCAGUAAACUUUCCUUCCUUUCUGUCGAUACAGUUACGCAAAUUAGAUGCGUAACCGUCUGGAAAUUCCACAUCGUUUGAAAUCCAAUCAAAGAACGCAUCUUUUCCCUCUGCAUCAAGUCGGUAUAUGGGAAAAGAAGCCCUACCAUUCUCAUCAACAUGAAGUUCUGAACGAGCUCAUAUAUUGACUAAAUCCAGUCUUGACUUCAAAUUAUCCUUUGUUUUACCUUGAACAUUAAGGAUCGUGUUCAUGAGAUUGUCAAAAAAGUUCUUCUCAAUAUGCAUGACAUCUAAAUUAUGCCUUAGCAGAUGAUCCUCCCAGUAUGGAAGAUCACAGAAAAUACUUUUUUUGUGCCAGUUAUGUAGGUCUCCAACAACUUCUACCGGAAAAUGCUCAUGUCCACCGACGUCUGGCUUCCUUUCUGCACCAAAAUCUCUUAGUUGUGUCUUCAAAUCUUUCCCAUAAAUUUCCGGAGGUGGACUGUCAAACACCCUCUUGUUCUUCGUAAACAAAUUCCUACUCCUACGAUAUGGAUGAUCAGGUGGUAAGAAUCUCCUGUGACAGUCAAACCAACACGUUUUCGUUCCGUGUUUUGUUGGAAAGCAUCAGUGUUAUCUUGACAAUAUGGACAUGAUAGCCUUCCAUGCGUUGUCCAUCCAGAUAACAUACCAUAUGCUGGAAAAUCACUUAUUGUCCACAUUAGUACUGCCCGCAUUUGAAAGUUUUCUUUACACGAAACAUCGUAUGUUUCGGCACCUUGAACCCAUAGUUUUUGCAACUCAUAUAUUAGUGGCUGAAGAAACAUAUCAAGUGAUCUCUUAGGAUGCUCUGGUCCGAGAACGAGAAUCGAGAGAAACAAAAACUCUCGUCGCAAGCACAAGUUUGGGGGUAGGUUGUAUGGUGUAAGAAUGACUGGCCAUAGAGAAUACUGUCUUCCACUCUUGCCAAACGGGCUGAAACCAUCAGUACAUAAUCCAAGGUAGACAUUUCUUCUCUCAUACGCAAAGUCGGGAUACUUUGAUUGGAAAUGCUUCCACGCUUUUGCAUCUGAAGGAUGUCUGAUCUCACCAUAUGUUGAGUGCUCCGCAUGUCAUCUCAUUGGUUGCGCUGUGCGUUCAGACAGAUACAACCUCUGCAACCUUUCCGUCAAAGGCAAAUACCACAUCCUUUUAUAUGGCACUGGAACUCUUCCACUCGUAUCUUUAUAAUGAGGCUUCCCACAAAAUUUGCAUGUAACCCGCUGUUCAUCCGCCCUCCAAUAAAUCAUGCAGUUGUCGCUGCAUACAUCUAUUACCUGAUACGAUAAACCAAGACCAGCUACGAGUUUCUGAACCUCGUAGUAUGAACCAGGAGCUACAUUAUCCUCGGGUAGAAUACCUUUUACAAAAUCAUCAAUCGCAUCCACACAGUCUUCAGCCAAAUUAUAAUCUGUUUUAAUGCCCAUCAAUCUUGUAGCAGAUGAUAAAGCUGAAUGACCAUCUCUGCAACCUUCGUACAAUGGUUGCUUUCCAGCAUCCAACAUAUCAUAAAAUCUCCUAGCUUCUGCAUUGGGUAAAUCUUCCCCUCUAAAAUGAUCAUUUACCAUCUGCUCAGUACCUACACCAUAAUCUACAUCCGUUCUAAUUCGUUCUUCUAAUCUAACCGCUGGCUGAGGUUCGCUAGUACUACCAUGUUCAUAAUCAGUUUCCCCAUGAUGAUACCAAAUUUUGUAACUUCGUGUAAACCCACUCAAAUAUAGAUGAGUCCAAACAUCCUACUCUUUAAUAACCUUUCUAUUUUUACAAUUAGAGCAAGGACAUCUUAACAUACAUGUUUUUGCUUCCGGUUGUCGGUGAACUAACCCCAUGAAUUCGGUUAUACCUCGUUGGUAUUCUUCCGUAAGCAAUCUCGUGUUCGGAUCCAAAAGAGGUCGAUCGAUCCAAGAACGAAAAUAAUUUGAAGAAGACAUGUUUUUUAUGAAUCAAAUUCGUGUGUAAAGAGAGUAAGAGGGAGGAUGAAGAUAUGGAGUGAAUGAAGAGGAAGAGGGGUGCUUGUAUUUAUAGUUGAAAUCCUGCCGACAGACCGAGGAAAUUCCGACGGAAUUCCAACGCCAACGGCUUGUUCGUCGGAAUUUCCUCGGAAUUUUUAAAAUCCCCCAACGGCUCUCAAACGGCUCUCUAACGGCUAUAAUAUAUCUUCGGAAUUCAUCGGUUUUUUCCGAGGAAUACAUUUUUCUUCGGUAUUCCAUAAGAAUAUUCCGACGGAUUGAUAUUUCCUCAGAAUUCCGUCGGUAUAUUCCGAGGAAAUUCCGAGGAAACCAAAUUUUGUGUUUCCUCGGAAUAUCCUCGGAAAUUCCUCGGGAUAUUCCGAGGAUUUCAUUUUCCGUCGGAAUGUCCGUCAGAAUACCGCUGUUUUCUUGUAGUGUAAACACCAAAAUUUAUACCACUAAACUAAAGGAUACUUUGUACAUUGAUUACCGAAACUAAUAUAUAUUUAUGAAUGAUUUCUUAUAGUGGAUCCCUUAUAUAACUGUAAUGUUUCAAUACUCACGUGUAACUUUGAUCAUCGAAACCUAUUUAGUAAAAUCCGCAUUCUGGCCCAAUAAAACUUAUAAGUGGGCUAAAUCUCUUUUGUAUGUAUCUAGGAUUUUUAUAGUACUAUGUCUCCACCGAUAAACCGAAGCGUUACCCUUUUAGCUUAUCAAAACAAAUUCUGAAAAUUUUCAUCUUCACCUCUCUAUAUCCCCAACGAUCAGUUAUGGUACCGUUUCACCUCUGAAACGAUCCAUCUCAGUAUAUAUAAUUCCUCAAACAAACCUUGAGACCCAUAUCUCUUAUUAAAUUACUCCUAAAUUGAACUGUCGCAGCUUUUAGCCAACAUUCGAAGAUGUCAACCUCCAGUGUUGUUGUUGCUUAAUCGGUCGUUGUCCCCACCACCUUUCUCCGCCUAAAACAUAGUACCCAAGAAAAGGUAUUGACAAUUUGACUUUCUAUGGAAUACUAUAUACCAUAUUUGUUUAAUCAAUAUUCAAGCUAUCAGUUUUAAUACUUUAAGCGUAUGUUUCUCUGGGCAGAAUUCCGAGAUCCACGGUUCUAUCCCAAUUCGUGUGAAUCACUACCAUCCAUCGCUACGAUUGGGGGUCGAUCGUGAAAGUUGAUUGAUCGCUUUGAAGUUGUCCGAUUAACUAAUAUGAUGUAACUCUGUUCUGAUGGGCUAUAACGGAAAGUUAUUUGGUUGCUAGGACUAACAGAGGCUGCAAGGCUGGGUACGUCUCAGGCGGAGCUGAAGGACGGUACAACUAGAGCGCCUAUUGUCUGGUUUUUGUCGUGCCAACGUGCUAUGGAACUAGAGACUUCCUAGGAGAAUCCAGAUUACUUCGAAACAUCGGCUGUCAUUUUCAACAGGUACCACCAAGAUGUAAAUUUUUUUAUGUUUGUGGUGUGGUUCGACUCAAGAUUGAAACUUUUGCUGAUGAAAUAAUGAUUUUGUGGAUGCAUGUCAAUUAGAUUUACGAGGCUACAAAAUGUUCACUGUACAUUGGCAGGGAAAAAAUGGCUAUGUAUGGUUCAGUUGUAACACUAGUGUGGUGCGAUGGGGAUGGACAUGGUAACCAAAGGUGUGCAUAAUGUUAUUGAGUUCCUCAGCGAUGAUUCCCCUGACAUGGAUGUGAUCGGAAUCUCUGGUGAGUUCCUUUUGUAUGUUAUUGGUUUGAUUUUAAAACAAUGCCUUUUAGCUUAGUGUCAUCUUGAGACUUAAAAACUUGAAAUUUAUUGGUCAGAUAACUUCUUCUCCGACAUUAACAAACCUGCUGCGGUGAACUGCAUCGAGGGACAUGACAGUAAUUAGAAGAGAGAUAGGGAACAAGGUGUUGAAAACGAGUGUGUCUGGCUUGGUGGAGCUCAAUAUACUCAAGAACCUCACCGUCUAUGUUGUUGCAGGCUCUCUAGGUCGAUUCAAAUCUCAUGCCAGCAACAUAGUGUUUGAUGUAUUCAUAGCUACUUGCCAAGAUCCAGCCCAAAACAUGGAGAGCUCUCAAAUUGAUGGAAGCCAUUAAUAGCAAUCACCGUACCUUCACUAUCUCCACCAUCACUGAAGAUACCAUCAUAGAGAACCAUGGCAAGGUUGUCUAAUUUUACUUGUCAUCACGUUCAUGUAUUUCAGGAGCACAGUGAGAACAUUCUUCCAAGCAGUGAAGGUGACGUAGGAUUGGCAGCAUCAUCGGGCCCGUCUGUUUUGGGAGACAAGGUCGAUGAGGAAUGUGCUGCAGCAGAUCCUCCAGAGAUUUCAGACGCUCAGAACAACCGCAAGCGCUGCCGUGAGUGAUUGGAAAUAUCUAUUAUAUUCCUAUCAGCCCGUCAACGUCUUUUCUAUGCAUUUUUAAAAACUGCUAUUAUCUUUGUUUUCCAUCAUAAACUUUGGAUAUUUUUUUCCUUGCAUGUUUUCUCUGUUCGGAGAUUUUAUUUCUAUUUUGGAUUAUUAAUGAAACGUCAACGGGUUCUAACUCAUACAAGAUUUGUUAGUUGUGUAUUUUUUUGGUUUACCUAUUUCUGACAUUUUUUUUGUCCACCAUAAACUAUUUUUAACAAAGUCGAGUAAAACUCUAAAAAUAAAUAAUUUUGCAACCAUAUAAUUUUAUAAAUUUUUCUAGAGUUAUUAAUUUUUUAUAAAAAAUAGUUUAUUGCAAUUCUAUAUUUUUGAAAUUAAUUUAGGUAAAAUAAGAAAAUAAUGUAAUUUAUUGCUCGAUAAAUUGUUUAAUUUUUUGAAUUCAAAUUUUAUAUUUUGUUCCUUACACUAUUUGUUUUAUAUACUAACAACUACCUAAGUAAAUACUAAAUAACUUCAUAAACUUUAUCUUUUGA